UACCAGACGAUGACCAACCUCUGGAUGGUAUAUACCAGACGAUGACCAACCUCUGGAUGGUAUAUACCAGACGAUGACCAACCUCUGGAUGGUAUACCUGACGGUGACCAUUUGGACAGAUCAGAUGAAGAACUGAGCACAAAUGGGGCAGUCAAGAAAUGGAACUGCAAGGCCACAGGACAUGACAUAAGAAGAGCUGUGGGAGACCACCUCAAGCCUCUGGUAGAGCCGGGGGUGGUGUUUACCACUCCAUCACACCUUCAGCAGGCUGGAAAAGUGAGAUUGAUCCGUUUGAUCCAU
Molecule: non-coding RNA, 300 nt
Organism: Oncorhynchus mykiss (rainbow trout)
Lineage: Eukaryota; Metazoa; Chordata; Actinopteri; Salmoniformes; Salmonidae
Source: RefSeq, a predicted model, not a curated record